Molecule: long non-coding RNA, 509 nt
Organism: Brassica napus (rape)
Lineage: Eukaryota; Viridiplantae; Streptophyta; Magnoliopsida; Brassicales; Brassicaceae
Exons: 2
Source: RefSeq, a predicted model, not a curated record
CAUAAGGUAAAUAAAUAAUUAAAUUUGUGUAUUAUGUUGAAGCUUUUCUGUUGAAAAGACAACAUAUGCUCAUCUUAUACUAGACGUUGUUAAUUCUAAUUUUCCAUUUGGAUCUUUACCUUUUAAUUGGUUUUAUAUAAUUGAAGGAUUUACAGAAGAAGAAAUGGCAACAAACAAGUUUUCAUCUCAUUUGUUAUUUUCAUUGAUGGUAUCUACGCUUAUCCUUUUACCAAUGGCUUCAGGAAAAAUCCGUGUAUGUCCGGAAAGAAGACCACCUUGUAAGGCCAGCAAAGCAUGUAUACAAAACUGUAAAAAAUUUGGGUACAGAACAGGAGGCUGUGAAGAAAUAUAUGCCGAUGUAUAUUGUUGUUGUGUAGACAAAUUGAAAUCUCAGGAUAAUCCUCAUUCACCUAGUGCAGUCUCAACUAAUUAACCUCUCAUUUAUACACAUUUAUAUGACUAAAAAUAUUUUUAUAUGAAUAAAAAUAUAUUUAUAUGUGAUUGAUCUA